RNAcentral lists this non-coding RNA (781 nucleotides) under Gyna capucina. Its description in RNAcentral is "12S ribosomal RNA". The stretch from base 375 to 774 matches the Rfam family "Microsporidia small subunit ribosomal RNA", at positions 752 to 1303 of the family's 1311-position model. Lineage: Eukaryota; Metazoa; Arthropoda; Insecta; Blattodea; Blaberidae. The record is from RNAcentral.
UAAAAGUUUUAUUCUUGCUUAAUUAUUUAUUGUUAUUUAAUAUUAUAUGCAAUUAUUUUUAUAAAAUCUUCUUAAGGGUGAUUUAAAAUGAGUUGGCAGUAAUUAAUAUUAUUAAUUGGGGAAACUUUGAAUUAGUUAUAAUAUGGGUAUAUUGAUUAAAUAUGUGCCAGCAGUCGCGGUUAAACAUAGAAUAUGAGUGAAUAUUUUUAGUUAAGUUAGUUACUAUGAAUUUUGUAUUAAUUUAUUUUGAAUAUUUUUAAGUGAAAUUUAAAUUUUCAUUUAGAAUUAAUAAUGGAUUUAGGAGGCUUUGAAAUUAAAUGAUUUAAACUAGGAUUAGAUACCCUAUUAUUUUUUUAGGUAAAUUGGUUUAACUUGAGUAGUAAUAGUUAUGGUCUUGAAACUUAAAGAAUUUGGCGGUGUCUUAGUCUAUUUAGAGGAACCUGUCCCAUAAUCGAUAGUCCGCGAAGAACCUUACUUAAUUUAUUUGUAUGUAUACCGCCGUUUAUUGAAGAUUUUUUUAGAAUAUUUUCGUAAUAUUAUAAUUUAUAAUAUUUCAGGUCAAGGUGCAGUUUAUGAUUAAGAGGAGAUGGGUUACAAUGUUUAAAAUUAAAUGGAUUUUAGAUUGAAAUAUUUAUAUAAAGGUGGAUUUAAUAGUAAUUAUUUGUAGAUUGUUAUUAUGAUCUUAGCUCUAAGGCGUGUACACAUCGCCCGUCGCUCUCGUUAUUUAAGGUGAGAUAAGUCGUAACAAAGUAGGUGUACCGGAAGGUGUAGCUAGAAUUAU